Molecule: long non-coding RNA, 388 nt
Filed under: Ananas comosus (pineapple)
Lineage: Eukaryota; Viridiplantae; Streptophyta; Magnoliopsida; Poales; Bromeliaceae
Description: long non-coding RNA (ACOM_LNC025244)
Source: RNAcentral
GUUGAAAGUUGAAAGUUGAAAGUUGAAAUUUAAAAUUUGAACUUUUUGAAAUUUGAAAUUUGAAAUUUGAAAUUUAAAAUUUAAAGUUUUUAAAAUUUGAAAUUUGAAAUUUGAAAUUUAAAAUCAAAAUUAAAUUUGAAUUUUUAAAUUUUAGAAAUUUGUACAUCUUUGGUAGCCCAAAAUGGUUGAAUUUUUUUUUCUUUGGUUAAAAUGGAUUGUAAGUUUACUCUAUUUUUUGGAGUAUAGUAUAACUAUACUCAAAAAAUUACGUCAUAUUUUUUUUUCCUCCAAAUGCUUCAUAGGAUUAUUUUCCUACCGGCAUAGUAUAGUUUAACUAUGCUAUGUUUUUAAAGGUAUUCAAACGGGGCCUUUAAACUAUUUAUAAAUU